CCUACGGGUGGCAGCAGUGGGGAAUAUUGGACAAUGGGGGGAACCCUGAUCCAGCGACGCCGCGUGAGUGAAGAAGUAUCUCGGUGUGUAAAGCCCUAUCAGCAGGGAAGAAAAUGACGGUACCUGACUAAGAAGCACCGGGAAACUACGUACCAGGAGCCGCGAUAAUACGGAGGGGGCAAGCGUUAUCCGGAUUUACUGGGUGUAAAGCGAGCGUAGUCGGUGCAGCAAGUCUGAUGGGAAAGGUCGGGGCCCAACCCCGGGACUGCCUUGGAAACUGUUGAACUGGAGUGCAGGAGAGGUAAGCGGAAUGCGUGGUGUAGCGGUGAAAUGCGUAGAUAUUGGGAGGAACACCAGUGGCGAAGGCGGCUUACUGUACUGCAACUGACGUUGAGGCUCGAAAGCGUGGGGAGCAAACAGGAUUAGAUACCCCUGUAGUC
This 440-nucleotide ribosomal RNA is filed under the name uncultured bacterium. Its description in RNAcentral is "partial 16S ribosomal RNA". It matches the Rfam family "Bacterial small subunit ribosomal RNA", at positions 338 to 795 of the family's 1533-position model. The record is from RNAcentral.